GGCACAUAGCAAAUGACAUUUAAUUUUUGCAUUGGGAACAAAAUGUUGACAAACUGAACAAAUCGCAACUUAUUGAUAAUUUGGUUCUACUUAAAAUAUAAACCUUCAGCUUAAAAACAACAACAAAAACAAUAACAAAAAACUUAUCCAUAGUGAAACUGUGGCUUACAUUUAUGUUACUAUUUCCAAAGCUUUAAUAUUUCUAACACCUCCUUCUGCUGUAGGCAGACUGCUUUCCUAAGCCAGGCAUCAGGCAGUCAACCCAACAGAAGAGUGUGUGGUGUGAGGACAGCAGGAUAUUAUUCUUGUCAUCCAUGACAGAGUUGCUUUUAUGUAUUUACUGAGUCCCAACACAUGUCAAUAUAUCUGACCAGUUCCUUGGGUUUAUUGAUUAACGUUUUUGAAAAGCUCUCUUCUCUCCACAGAAAAUUCUGGUAUGCCUCCUCCUUGCUGGCCCCAAACUCAACUACUUCAGUGUGACACCAGGAGAACUAACAGGCAGCCAGCAUUACACUGUUCACCAUUGCAACCACUGACUUGUUGGGAAGAACCAGAAGCAUGAAUCCCUUGAAAUAGAUGGUCAUGUUGCUUUGAUCCAGCAAGUCUUCAGGACAGACCUACUCCUGUCUUCAGACACUUGAGUAAUCUCACUGAAUGUCAUCCAGCAAAGACCACUGAGCUACUAGUCAGGGAAGUAACAAGUUUUGGCCAUCAGGUACUAGCUACUGCAGUUUCAAGUACUGGCAGCUACCCAGAGAGGCAUUUCUUUUUUUCAGCAUCUUUGCUCUGAUCUUCAGUUAUCAAGCAAUCUAAUAUUCAUAAGACAGAAAAUGCUAUUUUCUGUUAUUAUUAUACUUGCAGGUAUUGUACUCCAGGUGAAGGGAUGCCAUUUCGGUGUAAAACCCCUUGACUUUUAUCACUGCUUCAGGGAGCUUGAAAGCCAGAUUUAAAAAAAAAAAAAAAAAAGUCAAUAAAAUAGGCUAGUACAUAUUUUUGUGACUUUCU
RNAcentral lists this long non-coding RNA (1005 nucleotides) under Anser brachyrhynchus (Pink-footed goose). RNAcentral describes it as "lncRNA (ENSABRG00000020191.1)". The record is from RNAcentral. Lineage: Eukaryota; Metazoa; Chordata; Aves; Anseriformes; Anatidae.